AUACGAAGGGGGCUAGCGUUGUUCGGAAUUACUGGGCGUAAAGCGCGCGUAGGCGGACUGGUCAGUUGGGGGUGAAAUCCCAGGGCUUAACCCUGGAACUGCCUCCAAUACUGUCAGUCUUGAGUUCGGGAGAGGUGAGUGGAAUUCCUAGUGUAGAGGUGAAAUUCGUAGAUAUUAGGAAGAACACCAGUGGCGAAGGCGGCUCACUGGCCCGAUACUGACGCUGAGGCGCGAAAGCGUGGGGAGCAAACAGGAUUAGAAACCCCAGUAGUCC
This 274-nucleotide ribosomal RNA is filed under the name uncultured bacterium. RNAcentral describes it as "partial 16S ribosomal RNA". It matches the Rfam family "Bacterial small subunit ribosomal RNA", at positions 523 to 796 of the family's 1533-position model. The record is from RNAcentral.